RNAcentral lists this ribosomal RNA (478 nucleotides) under uncultured bacterium. RNAcentral describes it as "bacterial SSU rRNA". It matches the Rfam family "Bacterial small subunit ribosomal RNA", at positions 29 to 506 of the family's 1533-position model. The record is from RNAcentral.
UUGAACGCUGGCGGCAUGCCUAACACAUGCAAGUCGCACGCGAAAGGGGGCAACCCUGAGUAGAGUGGCGGACGGGUGAGUAACGCGUAGGAAUCUACCUGGUAGUGGGGGACAACCCGGUGAAAACCGGGCUAAUACCGCAUACGAUCCACGGAUGAAAGCAGGGGACCGCCAGGCCUUGCGCUAUCAGAUGAGCCUGCGUCGGAUUAGCUAGUUGGUGAGGUAAAGGCUCACCAAGGCAACGAUCCGUAGCUGGGUUGAGAGAACGACCAGCCACACUGGGACUGAGACACGGCCCAGACGCCUACGGGAGGCAGCAGUGGGGAAUAUUGGACAAUGGGGGCAACCCUGAGCCAGCAAGGCCGCGGGUGUGAAGAAGGCCGGCGGGUUGUAAAGCACUGUCGGUGGGGACAAACAAGGUGGAGCGAACAUCGCCGCCUCUGAUGGUACCCAAAGAAGAAGCACCGGCUAACUCUGU